This 69-nucleotide transfer RNA is filed under the name Ictidomys tridecemlineatus (thirteen-lined ground squirrel). Its description in RNAcentral is "Spermophilus tridecemlineatus (thirteen-lined ground squirrel) tRNA". It matches the Rfam family "tRNA". Rfam says of the family: Transfer RNA (tRNA) molecules are approximately 80 nucleotides in length. Their secondary structure includes four short double-helical elements and three loops (D, anti-codon, and T loops). The record is from Rfam by way of RNAcentral. Lineage: Eukaryota; Metazoa; Chordata; Mammalia; Rodentia; Sciuridae.
GGGGUUGUAGCUUAGUGGUAGAGCACUUGCCUCACAUGUGUGAGGCACUGGGUUCAAUCCUCAACACCA